CAAUAGCGUAUAUUAAAGUUGUUGCGGUUAAAAAGCUCGUAGUUGGAUUUCUGCUGAGAACGACCGGUCCGCCCUCUGGGUGUGUAUCUGGCUCUUUCUUGGCAUCUUCUUGGUGAACGUUGCUGCACUUGACUGUGUGGAGCGCUACCCAGGACUUUUACUUUGAGGAAAUUAGAGUGUUUCAAGCAGGCAUACGCCUUGAAUACAUUAGCAUGGAAUAAUAAGAUAGGACCUCGGUUCUAUUUUGUUGGUUUUGAGAGCUGGGGCAGCGAUUGAUAGGGACGGAUGGGGGCGUCCGAACUUUACUGUCAGAGGUGAAAUUCUUAGAUCGGUCAAAGGCGAACUACUGCGAACGCAUUCGCCAAGAAUGUUUUCUUUAA
RNAcentral lists this ribosomal RNA (380 nucleotides) under uncultured eukaryote. RNAcentral's name for it is "partial 18S ribosomal RNA". It matches the Rfam family "Eukaryotic small subunit ribosomal RNA", at positions 592 to 976 of the family's 1831-position model. The record is from RNAcentral.